UCGGAAUUACUGGGCGUAAAGACGCAUGCAGGUGGUUUGUUAAGUCAGAUGUGAAAGACCCGGGGCGUCAACCUCGGAAUUGCAUUUGAAACUGGCAAACUAGAGUACUGUAGAGGGGGGUAGGAAUUUCUAGGUGUAGCGGUGAAAUAGCGUAGAGAUCUGAAGGAAUACCGGUGGCGAAGGCGGCCCCCUCGGACAAAGACUGACGCUCAGAUGCGAAAGCGUGGGGAGCAAACAGGAUUAGAUACCCCUGGUAG
Molecule: ribosomal RNA, 257 nt
Filed under: uncultured bacterium
Lineage: Bacteria
Description: partial 16S ribosomal RNA
Rfam family: Bacterial small subunit ribosomal RNA
Source: RNAcentral